RNAcentral lists this ribosomal RNA (253 nucleotides) under uncultured bacterium. RNAcentral's name for it is "partial 16S ribosomal RNA". It matches the Rfam family "Bacterial small subunit ribosomal RNA", at positions 524 to 776 of the family's 1533-position model. The record is from RNAcentral.
UACGAAGGACCCGAGCGUUAUCCGGAUUUAUUGGGUUUAAAGGGUGCGUAGGCGUCCCUAUAAGUUACGGUUGAAAUCUCCUCGCUCAACGAGGAAACUGGCCGUAAAACUGUAGGGAUUGAGUGCAUUUGAAGCGGGCGGAAUGUGUCAUGUAGCGGUGAAAUGCUUAGAUAUGACACAGAACACCGAUUGCGUAGGCAGCUCGCUAAACUGUAACUGACGCUGAGGCACGAAAGCGUGGGGAUCAAACAGG